RNAcentral lists this ribosomal RNA (251 nucleotides) under uncultured bacterium. RNAcentral describes it as "partial 16S ribosomal RNA". It matches the Rfam family "Bacterial small subunit ribosomal RNA", at positions 524 to 773 of the family's 1533-position model. The record is from RNAcentral.
UACGUAGGGUGCAAGCGUUAAUCGGAAUUACUGGGCGUAAAGCGUGCGCAGGCGGUUGUGCAAGACAGAUGUGAAAUCCCCGGGCUCAACCUGGGAACUGCAUUUGUGACUGCACGGCUAGAGUGUGUCAGAGGGGGGUAGAAUUCCACGUGUAGCAGUGAAAUGCGUAGAUAUGUGGAGGAAUACCGAUGGCGAAGGCAGCCCCCCUGGGAUAACACUGACGCUCAUGCACGAAAGCGUGGGGAGCAAAC